This is an RNA transcript of Coregonus clupeaformis (lake whitefish), 2288 nucleotides long. It is a transcript of the gene named myotonin-protein kinase, with no coding region annotated. The transcript is spliced from 15 exons. Lineage: Eukaryota; Metazoa; Chordata; Actinopteri; Salmoniformes; Salmonidae. The record is from RefSeq and is a predicted model, not a curated record.
ACAGACAGAGAGGCAGACAGACAGAGGAACAUAAAUAAAUGGUAGAAGAGAGACGAAAACAGAGACCAAGAGAGGAGGGCAAAGGGAGAGAGACACACACAUAUUUCAGCUGGUGUAAGCCCACCAGCAGUCACACACACCCCCACACACACACACACUGUACAGAGUGAAGGACGGACAGAUGACAAGGGAGUUGCGAGGUGCACAGAACAAAGAUAGACGGAUCGAGAGAGAGAGAGAGAGAGAGGGAGAAAGAGAGAUAGAGUGACAGAGACAGGGAGGAAGAGCGAGAGAGGGGGGGCACUGUAAACUACAGGAAGCCCCAGUGUCAAACAAACAGGGGACAGUGGCUAGAAGAGCUCCACUCCAGAACCAGCCACCAGCCUCCAGUCUCCAUGGACUCCAGGGAGUCGCAGCGCCGCUGAACCCAGGCCCUCCUCUGCUGGACAGCAUGUCGGCGGGCCCGGGACCUCGUGACUUAGACCUACUGCUGUUGGAUCUCCAGGCCCCAGGGCCGGUUGGACUGCAGACACUGUUGGACCUGCUAGUGGGGGUGUACCAAGAGUUCCGCUCCUCACCCCUUGCCAGGGAGAAGUACGUCUCGGGCUUCCUGCAAUGGGCGGAGCCCCUGGUGAGGCAGGUGAAGAAGACGCGCAUCAAGAGGGAUGACUUCCACAUCUUGAAGGUGAUUGGUCGAGGGACCUUCAGUGAGGUGGCUGUGGCGAGGAUGCGUAGCACACAGCAAGUGUACGCCCUGAAGAUUAUGAAUAAGUGGGACAUGCUGAAGCGAGGAGAGACAGCUUGUUACCAGGAGGAGAGAGAGGUUCUGCUGAAGGGUGAUCGACGGUGGAUCACAGAGCUGCACUAUGCCUUCCAGGACGACAAUUACCUGUACCUGGUGAUGGACUACUACGUGGGUGGUGACCUGUUGACCCUGCUCAGUAAGUUUGGCGACCGUAUCCCUGAGGACAUGGCCCAGUUCUACUUGGCUGAGAUGGUCAUGGCCAUCGACUCCAUCCACAGGAUGGGCUAUGUGCACAGGGACAUCAAACCUGACAACAUCAUGCUGACGGCAGAGGGCCACGUCAGGCUGGGGGACUUUGGUUCCUGUCUGAGGGUCCAAGAGGAUGGCAUGGUGCACUCUUCCCUGGCGGUGGGCACACCCGACUACCUGUCCCCAGAGAUCCUGCGUGCGGUGGAGGGAGGGGGAGGCUAUGGCCCUGAGUGUGACUGGUGGGCCCUGGGGAUCUGUGCCUAUGAGAUGCUGCAGGGGACCACACCCUUCUACGCAGAGUCCAUCUCUGAGACCUACGCCAAGAUCAUGAACUUCCAGGAGCACUUUGAGUUCCCCCCGUCUGGCCCCGAGGUUUCAGAUGAGGCCCGUUCCCUCAUCAUGGGGCUGAUCUGCGAGAGGGAGGAUCGUAUGGGAGCCAGGGGUUCUGGGGACUUUAGGGCCCACCCCUUCUUCUGUGGACUAGACUGGGGCUCCCUGCAUGAACUUCCAGCACCCUUCCAACCUGAAGUCUCCAACGCCACUGACACCUCCAACUUUGACGUGUUGGACGACUGCCUCAGUGAAAUGGAAACACUGAGUGAUGUUAUGGACAAGGCCCCUAUCGGAGUUCACCUGGCUUUCGUUGGCUACUCCUACACAGCUACAAGACAGACAGGUGCCUUGGAUCGCAGUCGUGACAUCAUGAUGGAGAUUGACCACCAGCGACACCAUGGGUUGCCAAGCUUCAAUUUCCAGGAUAAGCUGAGUCAGAUGUGGAAGCUCAGAGAUGUCCUGACAACGCCUGACAACCUGCCUGCCCUGCUUGAGCUCCCCCUAGCAUUGGAGCAGGGUACUGCAGAGUCCACUCACACAACGACAGAGGAGGAAGAGGAGGAGAAGGACCAGAAUUCAGUACUUGAUGAGGAUCUGCACAGGCGGCUGCAGGAGGCAGAGAAGAGGAACGGAGAGCUGGAGAAAGAGAUGGAGAGACUGAGGGGGGAGAUCCAGGGCCUGAAGUCCCCCAAGGAGACAGAACUGCGUGUCUGCCCUUCGUCUCUUUCUCUGCCUGCCCACUGUCUGGACGAUGCAAGUGCGGCAUGCUGUGCUGUGCUGUGCUGUGACUCGCACACAUAAAAGACUGCAUCUGUACCCUGGCCUGCAAUCCUGUUCAGUUCCUGACUAUGAGUGUGUUUCAGGGGAAGAGUUCGCCCCCUGCCUGUCACUACCCGCUGGUGAUCCCUCUCCACCGCCACCUGCUGCUGUUUCACAGGGUGCGCUGGCCACAGGAGAGAAG